AAAUUAAAACCAAACUUAUAUAUACAAAUAUUACAAAUUGUGCCAGGCAUCAAAGGCUUAACAACAAAAUACAUAACUUCACAAACAACAAUUAUACGGCCAACGGCUAUCUAACACCUACAAUCUAAAGGGAGCUAUCUCGCCAAGCUCAGGUCUUCAACCGCCAAUAACGAACCCCACCCGUAUGUCCUCCACUUGCGGUGAUUAAUCUACAAGGAUGGAAUCAAACAUAAUGAGCUAAAAAACCCAGUAAGUAGAUAAAACAUUAUGCUUCCUAGCCUUUAAAUAUCAUUUUACAACAAUGUACAAGGUUUUAUACCGUUCUUAUAAAACAUGAGUCAUGUGCCAUAAUCAUAUUCAUCAGUGUGUUGUGCAUGGUUCGUAGUGAAGUGAUAACAAAUCAAAUCAAUCAUAUAUGAUAUGAUGCGGGGGUCAAUCAAAUCAUGCAACUAUGCAAAUCUUGGCAAUUAACAUACUAAGGUGAAUAACAACCAUUACCACUAACUCACGGCCUAAUUUGCUUACUCCCAAAGUAGAAACUCUAUUCAUCAAGCCAAGCCAAUCCCAUUGCUUAGGACUUCCACCAUUACUCAGGAGGGAAAACAAUGACAAGUGGGUGACCCACUUGGUAACGCUUUCAUACGCACACACUGUCCCCAGCGUGCUUUGGAGUUUUCAAUAGGAGAUGGCCUUGCAAGACACUACUCCCUACGCCACCUUGCUAGGAGCGUUACACCGUCAGGGUGCUAAUCACUAUGAAUGGGGGAGCGACCACCUAAACAUCAUCUACUCUGACUCUCGUCCUAUCAUUGGGCGAGCCGGAAAGGUCAUAAGUAGGCAAUGCAAUACACUCAAAGCAUGUCAUUGGAUCACAGAUCACUUAUCACCUCAUGGCCAUGCAAUACGCUCAAAGCAUGCCAAUCAGUCACAUAUCACGAUAUGGCAAUACAAUAACCUCAUAGCAUGCCUAUUAGUCAUAUAUCACAGUAUGGCCAUGAAAUACGCUCAGAGCAAGCCAAUCAGUCACAUAUCAUAGUAUGGCUAUGCAAUACGCUCAAUGCAUGCAAAUCAGUCACAUCUCAUUGUAUGGUCGUGCAAUACGCUCAAAGCACGCCAAUGAAUCAGAGUUACAUAUCAUAUCAUUGUCAUGCAAUACUCUCAAAGCAUGCUAAUGAAUCAGAAUCACAUAUUAUAUCAUGGUCAUACAAUACGCUCAAAGCAUGUCAUUAAGUAAGAAUCGUAUAUCACAUAGCUGACCACAUAGGUCAAAUCACAUAUCACAUGUCACAAUGGAACAUGUAUCAUAAUAUGUACACAUAUAAUAACAGAGCAUGUCUCAAAAUCAUGUUCAUUCAUUUUCACAUAAGCAUGUCUUUUUACAACCAUGCACAUUUAACAUUUCAUAAGCAUUCACUAUUUCAUGGGUAUGUCUUAUUGCAACCAUGCAUUGUCAAUAAUUCAUAAGCAAUCUUAUCAGAGCACAAUACGGCCAUGCAAUACGCCCAAAGCAUGCCGAUGAAUCACAUAUCACUUAGCACCUAUCACAAGGUUGACCAUACAUGUCACAUAUCACUUAGCAGCUAUCACAAGGGUUGACCACAUAGGUUACACAUCACUUAACACUUAUCACAUGCUUGACCACACAGGUCACCUAUCACGUAGCACUUAUCACAUCAUAACAUACUACAAAUGGAUGAUCCAUCACAUUUGUAGUUUGCUUUAUUUGAGGCGGGCACAUUCAAUAUUUCAUAAGCAUUCACUAAUUCAUUAGCAUUCACUCUUUCAUAAGCAUUCAUAUCUUUCAUAAGCAUGCCUCAUAAGCAUUCAUUGUCUUACAAGCAAUAGCAUUCACUUACUUCAUGGGCAUAUUCCAUUUUAAAUCAUAGUAUGCCUUAUUACAAUCAUACUUAUACUUAGUCAAUUAUUCACUAAUUCAUAAGUAUCCACCAUUUCAUUCGCUUAUCUUGUUGCAACCAUGCAUAAUAAUUCAUGAAAGAAUCGAAAGUUCAUGGUGUCAGUUCCCUAGGAAAGCAUGUAUGAUUUCCCGUCCACAAAGAAUUUAGUCAUGGUUCCAAAACCAACUCCAAGCUAGGUUCACUGAUCUUUCAUUUAGAACUGGUUUGGGCUAAAUCGGGGGUAUUUAUUCAACCAACAGAUCAUUACAAACAUGUGCAAGGUUCUGGACUUUCCAACAAUUAUAAUAGCGACACACUCUUAGAAAAAAAGGUUGUAAUUCCCGAUUCAUAAGGAAUUUCGAUCUGACACUAGAAUUAUUGUUGAUGUAUACAAAACUAUAUUUAUUUUAAAAUUAAUUUGAGAUAAUUUGGACACUAUUUAGUUAGUAAACAGUUCAGUACAAGACAUGCAACAGUUCUGGAAAUUUACUACAACUCACAACAAUGACAUACUCACAUACACAGGGCAUAAUUCUCAAAACAUAAAGAAUUUCAACAUGGUUCUGAAACAGUUUUUGAAGUAAGCACACCAAUAUUUCAUUUAAAAGUCAUUUGAGAUUAUUUAGACACUAUUUAGUUAGUAAACAAUUUAGUACAAAACAUGCAACAGUUUUGAAAUUUCACUGCCACUCAACAUAGUGGCAUAUUCACACAAAUGGGGGCAUAAUUCCCAAACCAUAAGGGAUUUUGGCUAAGUCCGAUAUCAUUUUUGAAGUAGAAUUACCCAUAUUUCAUUUAAAACUAGUUUGGCCUCAUUUGGACAUGAUUUGGUUGAUGAAACGUUCACCAAAAAAACAUGCACAGUUCUUGGAAUUUCAUUUCCAAUUUCUUGACAUACUUCAAAGAAUGAACUAUAACUUCCAAAUCAAAAUAGGCAUUAAUACAAGGCAUUUUUCAUAUUAAACUACAUUAAUAAGGGUGCAUUUCAAUUAAUUUUAAUAAUCAUCAGAAAUAUAUUCAAUGCUCAAUCUAUCAUGCAAAAUUCUGGAAAAUCAGGGCUCCUUCUAGCAUAACUUUCAUGCUAUUCUAAGUUGUAUCAAUAAUCAAGCUUAAAUUUCUUGAUUUGUAUAUUCAUACUCAUAUUUACAGUCACACACACGUAAUUUUUCUUGAAUUUCAUACUUGAAUGAACUAACCAAAAACAUGUAUCAAAAAGCAUAGAAGCAUGGAAAAUGAAUCUGCUUACAUGCACCAAAGUUGUUCCCUGUGAAAGGCAAGGAAGCUACCAUCGCUCUUGAGGUUCACCGCAAGUUAACCCCUUGUGCUCCUUCACUACCCGGAGCCUCCACACCUGGAGGGUCCCCACAGAGGCGAAGGUCCUAAGGUCUUCACCCCUCGCACACACUCAAAGGCUCAUGGUCUAUCCACUCGAGCCACACCUCGGGGCAACCCUCAUGUUGCCUUGAGCUCGCAUCCAGGGCCAGGCAUUCUUGGGCCAAACCUUACAUGCACCAUGCAUUCGCUUUCCACAGCUUGGAGCAAGGCUAGCUCUAUGCCACCUCGAGCACAGGAGGGUCGACCGUUCCGUCUUCCCUCCCAGCACACACUGCCUCACCUUGUGAGCGACAAGCCCCCGCCUUGUCCAUCACAAACACAAGCUCGUAGGUCUUGGACUCCUCAGGUCUAACCCAUUGAAAGAGCCAGGGCUGACCCCCAAGUCACCCGGACGGCUAACCCUAAAGGUGCACACGCACCAUCUUUUCAGGUCCCUCUCGGAUCCAAACUCAGGCAGAGUCACGAACCAGCUUCUUCCUUUGUCGCUUCCCCGAUGCCAGGCAAGCACCUCAAGCCCUGGUACUCAAAGGUCUUCCCUAAGAGUACCAUCUUGAGCCAACCCCGGGUCAACCGAACACCGGGGCCUCACAAAGGAAUUUGAGGCAAUGACUUGAUGUCAAGCAGAGGCCUCCAGCCUCCAAGACAAGAACCCAAGCUGCUCUCCAUCCUUGGGCCCCACUCCCUGCUCCAGCUCAUAGACAUGGCCCUCACCAGUUCGAAGAAAACAGGGCAGUCUAGGUCUCAGGCUCGGUUCUGGAAUGAGGUUCACAGCCACCUCAAGAUCAAGCAGAAAAAAGGCCUGUAGAUCUUGACCGGGUCUCCAAGGCAGUUGAGGUCACCACCCCUGACGACCUCCUGCCUUGUAAUCCCUUCUUCCCUCUUCAAACUUUGGAACCUGAGCAAGUCCAGGAAUACUGUUCGGUGACCACCACCUAGAAGUCACAGAAGACUGUCAAGAAUUGGUCCUGUGUGAGGAUCAACAUACAAAUCUCGAGUCCAGUCGGGGCAAGCUGAGCCCCUCCAGACUGACUUGCCAUGCAUGACUCGCUAGCCUCGGUAGUCUGCUGCAUCCCUUGACUCUGACCUCCCAGAAGAAAUGAUCAGUGUCAUGGUGAUCAAUGACCCGAACGACUCUCAGGAGGAGAUUUUGAACAAGUUCGAGGAAAUGAUGCAAGCCAUCCUCGGAAAGAUGGAGCGCCUAGAGGCCUCCAGGUUCCCUUCUUCGUUUGAUUUCCCGACUGGUGAGGACACAGCUCCUAGGCAGACUCCCCCUCUGGUCUCCCAAGACAGCGUCUCUUCUCGUAGGGUCUUCCAAAUCGACAUAUAUGCUAUGGUGGUCCAUAGACUUAAUCACAAGGUCUCGGGCAUGCAGGAGACGCCACUAUACCAAAAUUCGUAUCCUUCAUACAUUGACCAGGUACCAUUUCC
RNAcentral lists this long non-coding RNA (4658 nucleotides) under Amborella trichopoda. RNAcentral describes it as "long non-coding RNA (ATRI_LNC001697)". The record is from RNAcentral. Lineage: Eukaryota; Viridiplantae; Streptophyta; Magnoliopsida; Amborellales; Amborellaceae.